UGCAGUCGAACGCUAUCUUUGAUAGAGUGGCGCACGGGUGAGUAACACGUCGGAAUCUGCCCUUUUGUUCGGGACAACAGUUGGAAACGACUGCUAAUACCGGAUACGCCCUUCGGGGGAAAGGUCCGCCGCAGAAGGAGGAGCCCGCGCCCGAUUAGCUUGUUGGUAGGGUAAUGGCCUACCAAGGCGACGAUCGGUAGCUGGUCUGAGAGGAUGAUCAGCCACACUGGGACUGAGACACGGCCCAGACUCCUACGGGAGGCAGCAGUGGGGAAUAUUGGACAAUGGGGGCAACCCUGAUCCAGCAAUGCCGCGUGUGUGAUGAAGGCCUUAGGGUUGUAAAGCACUUUCACUGGUGAAGAUGAUGACGGUAACCAGAGAAGAAGCCCCGGCUAACUUCGUGCCAGCAGCCGCGGUAAUACGAAGGGGGCGAGCGUUGUUCGGAAUUACUGGGCGUAAAGGGAGCGCAGGCGGUUCAUUUAGUUAGGCGUGAAAGCCCCGGGCUCAACCUGGGAACUGCGCUUAAUACUGAUGAACUAGAAAACAGAAGAGGGUAGUGGAAUUCCCAGUGUAGAGGUGAAAUUCGUAGAUAUUGGGAAGAACACCGGUGGCGAAAGCGGCUACCUGGUCUGAUUUUGACGCUGA
Molecule: ribosomal RNA, 645 nt
Filed under: uncultured bacterium
Lineage: Bacteria
Description: bacterial SSU rRNA
Rfam family: Bacterial small subunit ribosomal RNA
Source: RNAcentral